Molecule: ribosomal RNA, 256 nt
Filed under: Enterobacter cloacae
Lineage: Bacteria; Pseudomonadati; Pseudomonadota; Gammaproteobacteria; Enterobacterales; Enterobacteriaceae
Also listed under: 1 other name
Description: partial 16S ribosomal RNA
Rfam family: Bacterial small subunit ribosomal RNA
Source: RNAcentral
ACGGCCGCAAGGUUAAAACUCAAAUGAAUUGACGGGGGCCCGCACAAGCGGUGGAGCAUGUGGUUUAAUUCGAUGCAACGCGAAGAACCUUACCUACUCUUGACAUCCAGAGAACUUUCCAGAGAUGGAUUGGUGCCUUCGGGAACUCUGAGACAGGUGCUGCAUGGCUGUCGUCAGCUCGUGUUGUGAAAUGUUGGGUUAAGUCCCGCAACGAGCGCAACCCUUAUCCUUUGUUGCCAGCGGUUAGGCCGGGAAC